This 253-nucleotide ribosomal RNA is filed under the name uncultured bacterium. RNAcentral's name for it is "partial 16S ribosomal RNA". It matches the Rfam family "Bacterial small subunit ribosomal RNA", at positions 524 to 776 of the family's 1533-position model. The record is from RNAcentral.
UACAGAGGGUGCAAGCGUUAAUCGGAAUUACUGGGCGUAAAGCGUGCGUAGACGGUUAUUUAAGUCAGGUGUGAAAGCCCCGGGCUCAACCUGGGAAUUGCAUUUGAGACUGAAUAGCUAGGGUGCGGAAGAGGGAAGCGGAAUUUCCGGUGUAGCGGUGAAAUGCGUAGAUAUCGGAAGGAGCACCAGUGGCGAAAGCGGCUUCCUGGUCCAGCACCGACGUUCAGGCACGAAAGCGUGGGGAGCAAACAGG